RNAcentral lists this ribosomal RNA (468 nucleotides) under uncultured bacterium. Its description in RNAcentral is "partial 16S ribosomal RNA". It matches the Rfam family "Bacterial small subunit ribosomal RNA", at positions 28 to 507 of the family's 1533-position model. The record is from RNAcentral.
GACGAACGCUGGCGGCGUGCUUAACACAUGCAAGUCGAACGGAAAGGCCCUGCUUUUGUGGGGUGCUCGAGUGGCGAACGGGUGAGUAACACGUGAGUAACCUGCCCUUGACUGUGGGAUAACUUCAGGAAACUGGGGCUAAUACCGGAUAGGAGCUCCUGCUGCAUGGGGGGGGUUGGAAAGUUUCGGCGGUUGGGGCUGGACUCGCGGCUUAUCAGCUGGUUGGUGGGGUAGUGGCUUACCAAGGCUUUGACGGGUAGCCGGCCUUGGAGGGUGACCGGCCACCUUGCGCCUACGAUACGGCGCAGACUCCUACGGUAGGCAGAAGUCGGGAAUAUUGCACAAUGGGCGGACGCCUGAUGCAGCAACGCCGCGUGCGGGAUGACGGCCUUCGGGUUGUAAACCGCUGUCGCCUGUGACGAAGCGUGAGUGACGGUAAUGGGUAAAGAAGCACCGGCUAACUACGUG